Sebastes umbrosus (honeycomb rockfish) is the source of this 721-nucleotide non-coding RNA. The record is from the annotation of a RefSeq genome assembly. NCBI's taxonomy places the organism in Eukaryota, Metazoa, Chordata, Actinopteri, Perciformes, Sebastidae.
CUGUUAACCAGGAGGAAGUGGAACUGAGAGAAGGUGAAAUCCAGAUCUAAGAGGAGACGGAGAGAUUCAGGGAGGAGCUAAGAUGUUACUGAACUAUAGAAGAGAGAGGAACUUCUGUAUUCAGCAGAGUUCAAUACACAAACCAUCAACAUUACCUUCAUUCAACAUGCUCUCAUUGGACUGUUAUGGACUUUCUCUACUGUUUGUCACUAUUCUAACAGGUGUCAGCUGUGAAGAACUCACUCCAGUCAAGAAUGAAGAGUCCAGUUUAGAAGACAGCACUGUUACUCUGUCCUACACAUACUCUGACCUGAAACCUAGUGAUUAUUUCUUCUGGUAUCGACAAUAUCUAGGAAAACCACCAGAGUUCAUCAUCUCCAUCUCUGGUCUUAGUGUUACAAGACCAGCAGAAUCUCUGAAAUCAGACACAAAGUUCUUCACUAAACUGUUUGAAGAAAAGGAUGGUGUGGAUCUCCAGAUCUCCUCUGCUGCAGUGUCACACUCUGCUGUGUACUACUGUGCUGUGAGGCCCACAGUGACAGGAAACACCAAAACUCUGUACAAAAACCUUUGGAGCAAAGACAACACAAUACUCCACAACGUCCACUAGAGGGAGUCACACUCUGUUCCACUUCAACAGGAGCUGAUGAUCCAGUCUAGAUUGUUUCUCCUCAUGAGUUCAGAAGGAAACAAAACCAGACUGGACAGAGGGUCCUUCUCU